RNAcentral lists this ribosomal RNA (253 nucleotides) under uncultured bacterium. Its description in RNAcentral is "partial 16S ribosomal RNA". It matches the Rfam family "Bacterial small subunit ribosomal RNA", at positions 524 to 776 of the family's 1533-position model. The record is from RNAcentral.
CACGUAGGAGGCGAGCGUUGUCCGGAUUUAUUGGGCGUAAAGCGCGCGUAGGCGGUUAGCCAAGUCCCGGGUGAAAUCUCUCGGCUUAACCGGGAGGGGUCUCGGGAUACUGGUUGACUUGAGGGCAGUAGGGGAGAGCGGAAUUCCCGGUGUAGUGGUGAAAUGCGUAGAUAUCGGGAGGAACACCCGUAGCGAAGGCGGCUCUCUGGACUGUUCCUGACGCUGAGGUGCGAAAGCGUGGGGAGCGAACCGG